UGAACUUAAGCAUAUCAAUAAGCGGAGGAAAAGAAACCAACAGGGAUUGCCUCAGUAACGGCGAGUGAAGCGGCAACAGCUCAAAUUUGAAAUCUGGCCGCAAGGUCCGAGUUGUAAUUUGUAGAGGAUGCUUUUGGCGAGGUGACUUCCGAGUUCCCUGGAACGGGACGCCAUAGAGGGUGAGAGCCCCGUACGGUCGUGCCACCGAGCCUCUGUAAAGCUCCUUCGACGAGUCGAGUAGUUUGGGAAUGCUGCUCUAAAUGGGAGGUGUACGUCUUCUAAAGCUAAAUACCGGCCAGAGACCGAUAGCGCACAAGUAGAGUGAUCGAAAGAUGAAAAGCACUUUGAAAAGAGGGUUAAAAAGUACGUGAAAUUGUUGAAAGGGAAGCAUUCAUGACCAGACUUGGGCUUGGUUGAACAUCCGGCGUUCUCGCCGGUGCACUCUGCCAGCUCAGGCCAGCAUCAGUUUGCCCCGGGGGACAAAGGCGGCGGGAAUGUGGCUCCCUACGGGGAGUGUUAUAGCCCGUCGUGUAAUGCCCUGGGGUGGACUGAGGUUCGCGC
Molecule: small RNA, 561 nt
Filed under: Sarocladium bacillisporum
Lineage: Eukaryota; Fungi; Ascomycota; Sordariomycetes; Hypocreales; Sarocladiaceae
Description: eukaryotic LSU rRNA
Rfam family: Eukaryotic large subunit ribosomal RNA
Source: RNAcentral